AGCGAACGCUGGCGGCAGGCCUAACACAUGCAAGUCGAACGAACCUUUCGGGGUUAGUGGCGGACGGGUGAGUAACACGUGGGAACGUGCCUUUAGGUUCGGAAUAACUCAGGGAAACUUGUGCUAAUACCGAAUGUGCCCUUCGGGGGAAAGAUUUAUCGCCUUUAGAGCGGCCGGCGUCUGAUUAGCUAGUUGGUUGAGGUAAUGGCUCACCAAGGCGACGAUCAGUAGCUGGUCUGAGAGGAUGAUCAGCCACAUUGGGACUGAGACACGGCCCAAACUCCUACGGGAGGCAGCAGUGGGGAAUCUUGCGCAAUGGGCGAAAGCCUGACGCAGCCAUGCCGCGUGAAUGAUGAAGGUCUUAGGAUUGUAAAAUUCUUUCACCGGGGACGAUAAUGACGGUACCCGGAGAAGAAGCCCCGGCUAACUUCGUG
RNAcentral lists this ribosomal RNA (434 nucleotides) under uncultured bacterium. RNAcentral describes it as "partial 16S ribosomal RNA". It matches the Rfam family "Bacterial small subunit ribosomal RNA", at positions 29 to 507 of the family's 1533-position model. The record is from RNAcentral.